Molecule: ribosomal RNA, 486 nt
Filed under: Listeria monocytogenes
Lineage: Bacteria; Bacillati; Bacillota; Bacilli; Caryophanales; Listeriaceae
Description: partial 23S ribosomal RNA
Rfam family: Bacterial large subunit ribosomal RNA
Source: RNAcentral
GUAGACCCGAAACCAGGUGAUCUACCCAUGUCCAGGAUGAAGGUAAGGUAAUACUUACUGGAGGUCCGAACCCACGCACGUUGAAAAGUGCGGGGAUGAGGUGUGGGUAGCGGAGAAAUUCCAAUCGAACUUGGAGAUAGCUGGUUCUCUCCGAAAUAGCUUUAGGGCUAGCCUCGAGGUAAAGAGUCAUGGAGGUAGAGCACUGUUUGGACUAGGGGCCCUUCUCGGGUUACCGAAUUCAGAUAAACUCCGAAUGCCAUGUACUUAUACUCGGGAGUCAGACUGCGAGUGAUAAGAUCCGUAGUCGAAAGGGAAACAGCCCAGACCACCAGUUAAGGUCCCCAAAUAUAUGUUAAGUGGAAAAGGAUGUGGGGUUGCUUAGACAACCAGGAUGUUGGCUUAGAAGCAGCCACCAUUGAAAGAGUGCGUAAUAGCUCACUGGUCGAGUGACCCCGCGCCGAAAAUGUACCGGGGCUAAACAUAUUA